RNAcentral lists this ribosomal RNA (1512 nucleotides) under Clostridium botulinum. RNAcentral describes it as "bacterial SSU rRNA". It matches the Rfam family "Bacterial small subunit ribosomal RNA". RNAcentral also lists the same sequence under 3 other names. The record is from RNAcentral. Lineage: Bacteria; Bacillati; Bacillota; Clostridia; Eubacteriales; Clostridiaceae.
UAAAUUUAGAGUUUGAUCCUGGCUCAGGACGAACGCUGGCGGCGUGCUUAACACAUGCAAGUCGAGCGAUGAAGCUUCCUUCGGGGAGUGGAUUAGCGGCGGACGGGUGAGUAACACGUGGGUAACCUGCCUCAAAGUGGGGGAUAGCCUUCCGAAAGGAAGAUUAAUACCGCAUAAUAUAAGAGAAUCGCAUGAUUUUCUUAUCAAAGAUUUAUUGUUUUGAGAUGGACCCGCGGCGCAUUAGCUAGUUGGUAAGGUAACGGCUUACCAAGGCAACGAUGCGUAGCCGACCUGAGAGGGUGAUCGGCCACAUUGGAACUGAGACACGGUCCAGACUCCUACGGGAGGCAGCAGUGGGGAAUAUUGCGCAAUGGGGGAAACCCUGACGCAGCAACGCCGCGUGGGUGAUGAAGGUCUUCGGAUUGUAAAGCCCUGUUUUCUAGGACGAUAAUGACGGUACUAGAGGAGGAAGCCACGGCUAACUACGUGCCAGCAGCCGCGGUAAUACGUAGGUGGCGAGCGUUGUCCGGAUUUACUGGGCGUAAAGGGUGCGUAGGCGGAUGUUUAAGUGGGAUGUGAAAUCCCCGGGCUUAACCUGGGGGCUGCAUUCCAAACUGGAUAUCUAGAGUGCAGGAGAGGAAAGCGGAAUUCCUAGUGUAGCGGUGAAAUGCGUAGAGAUUAGGAAGAACACCAGUGGCGAAGGCGGCUUUCUGGACUGUAACUGACGCUGAGGCACGAAAGCGUGGGUAGCAAACAGGAUUAGAUACCCUGGUAGUCCACGCCGUAAACGAUGGAUACUAGGUGUAGGGGGUAUCAACUCCCCCUGUGCCGCAGUUAACACAAUAAGUAUCCCGCCUGGGGAGUACGGUCGCAAGAUUAAAACUCAAAGGAAUUGACGGGGGCCCGCACAAGCAGCGGAGCAUGUGGUUUAAUUCGAAGCAACGCGAAGAACCUUACCUGGACUUGACAUCCCUUGCAUAGCCUAGAGAUAGGUGAAGCCCUUCGGGGCAAGGAGACAGGUGGUGCAUGGUUGUCGUCAGCUCGUGUCGUGAGAUGUUAGGUUAAGUCCUGCAACGAGCGCAACCCUUGUUAUUAGUUGCUACCAUUAAGUUGAGCACUCUAAUGAGACUGCCUGGGUAACCAGGAGGAAGGUGGGGAUGACGUCAAAUCAUCAUGCCCCUUAUGUCCAGGGCUACACACGUGCUACAAUGGUAGGUACAAUAAGACGCAAGACCGUGAGGUGGAGCAAAACUUAUAAAACCUAUCUCAGUUCGGAUUGUAGGCUGCAACUCGCCUACAUGAAGCUGGAGUUGCUAGUAAUCGCGAAUCAGAAUGUCGCGGUGAAUACGUUCCCGGGCCUUGUACACACCGCCCGUCACACCAUGAGAGCUGGUAACACCCGAAGUCCGUGAGGUAACCGUAAGGAGCCAGCGGCCGAAGGUGGGAUUAGUGAUUGGGGUGAAGUCGUAACAAGGUAGCCGUAGGAGAACCUGCGGCUGGAUCACCUCCUUU